ACAGGACUAGAGUGGAUCCCCAUAAAAUGAGUGAAGCCAUAAUAUGAGUUAGAGACUACUGAAAAAGCCCCUCCUGAUGAUGAAGGACCUGUCAUUGGAGAAUCGACCAAAACUGACAGUGAUAACUUGGAAGGCACCUGACAUUACCUGGGGACAGCUAAAGAAACUGGACCAACAGGGAACUAUCUGGCUUGCAUCUAUGGGAGCCCCUGAAACUGCAGAGAACCAGUUUCUUAUGUAUCUGAUGGUAAUUGGGGGAGCUUCUGAGAAGGCAUCUGCAAAUGGCUCUGUGCUGCCACUCAACCAACUAUGACCAGGGAAGAAUGAUAGAAGCUUACUUUGCAUUGGAUAAUCCGCAUGUUCUAAGAAUUAAAGAAGGGGGAAAUGUGAGGGGUGUAUGACAAUACAUUCAAGCUUAUGUACAAGGCAUUUGAGGUUGAGGCAUGGAAAAAUACUGAGGCACUGUGUGUAUGUUGUUUGUGCAUGAAACUGUAAUUCCUUGACCCUGAAAAUAGGACAAGGAAUAGAAUUUGUAAUAAGGAGUGCUGAACACAGCCUCCUAAGAAUGUGGUUUGAGUGCUUUUAGAUGUUAUAAACAAGGCCAUAUGUGCCUCAUGACCCGACCCCAAAUAGCCACCUUGUAGAUGUUUCUUGUUUGUCUAAAUUGUAGUUCAACUAGCCUUCUCAAUAAAUACUUGGCAGAUGAAUCUUAAAGCAGCACUGUCUUGGAGGAGCUGCUCCCCUCCCUUUCAGCUGUAAUUGUCUGAAUACUUAUUUCUUGGUGUUCACUGCAGAGCAAGCUGCAGCACAGCUGCCGGCAUUUAUUCAUGCAAGAUUCCAGCUUGCUUAUCUAUGUCUGCAGCUCAAUUUUACAGGCUGCUCUUUGUU
Molecule: long non-coding RNA, 888 nt
Filed under: Homo sapiens (human)
Lineage: Eukaryota; Metazoa; Chordata; Mammalia; Primates; Hominidae
Description: non-protein coding lnc-ZNF681-2:2
Source: RNAcentral